Molecule: long non-coding RNA, 997 nt
Organism: Gallus gallus (chicken)
Lineage: Eukaryota; Metazoa; Chordata; Aves; Galliformes; Phasianidae
Source: Ensembl
UUCCAAGCCAUGCGUCUUCAUUCAGAUUUAGGCUAUUUACAUCCACUGAGGACCUGCACAUCGGUGGAGGGCGCUGGAGAAAGAACUCACAAAUGUUAGCAUCUGACGAUGCCAUAUCCAGCACCAUUGGAAUAGGUUUCAAGAACAUUUGGACAAACUUUCAGAAAAAUUAUUGCCUUUGUUUUAAAGAGCUUCAAAUAUUUAUACAUGGAAAAACUAAAAGAUCACUGAAAGUAUGAUAAACCUACUAUUUGCAGACUCUUCUGGUUCACUGUUAAUCACACAGGUUUUAAGCAAAUGACUUUUUGAAAGUUUCAAAAAAUACUGAAUAAAGCUAAGUUCAAUCUGACCCCUAUGGACUUCCAUUUGAAAUAUCCUCUCCUUGACAAGUAGACUGUUGGUAACAUCUCUCAAAGAGUAAUUUUUCAAUUAAUUACAUACUUGUAUUAGCUCAGUUUUAAAUAGACUGUAAAUCCUAGAUUAUAUUCUUACAUGCAAAAACACACUGAUUGUUACCACUAUUAUCCUAACAAAGAAAACAAUGAAACUGAAUAAAAGUUGUCAAGUAUAUGUUGCCAUAAAAUAAAUAAAAUAAAACUUUGUAGUUUUUCUUGUCCUCACUUAUUUCAUUAUUUGUUUUCUAGUAAUUAUUGUGUUCAUUUAUAUAGAUUCUGAAAGAGAUGUUAAGGCACAUGCGAAAUGAGGAGGUAAUUCUUGACAGCCACCAUGGCUACACUAAGAGUAAGUCAUGCCUGACCAGUCUGGUAGCCUGCUAUGAUGGAGUGAUGGCAUCAGUGGACUAAGGAAGAACAUCUGAUGUCAUCAUCUACCUGGACUUGUGCAAGGCCUUUGACAUGUUCCAGAACCUCAUCCUUAUCUGUAAGUUGAAGAAAUGUGGAUUUGAAGGGUGGACUAUUCAGUGGAUAAGGAAUUGCUUGGAUCAAUGCAUCCAGUUGUCUUUACCCCAAGUUUAGCUAUUUCCACUAGUUAUGGAAAU